RNAcentral lists this ribosomal RNA (253 nucleotides) under uncultured bacterium. RNAcentral's name for it is "partial 16S ribosomal RNA". It matches the Rfam family "Bacterial small subunit ribosomal RNA", at positions 524 to 776 of the family's 1533-position model. The record is from RNAcentral.
UACGAAGGGGGCUAGCGUUGCUCGGAAUUACUGGGCGUAAAGCGCACGUAGGCGGUCUUUUAAGUCGGGGGUGAAAUCCUGGAGCUCAACUCCAGAACUGCCUUCGAUACUGGAAGACUUGAGUCCGGGAGAGGUGAGUGGAGCUGCGAGUGUAGAGGUGAAAUUCGUAGAUAUUCGCAAGAACACCAGUGGCGAAGGCGGCUCACUGGCCCGGUACUGACGCUGAGGUGCGAAAGCGUGGGGAGCAAACAGG